This 497-nucleotide ribosomal RNA is filed under the name uncultured bacterium. RNAcentral describes it as "partial 16S ribosomal RNA". It matches the Rfam family "Bacterial small subunit ribosomal RNA", at positions 28 to 507 of the family's 1533-position model. The record is from RNAcentral.
GAUGAACGCUGGCGGCGUGCCUAAUACAUGCAAGUCGAGCGAACAGACGAGGAGCUUGCUCCUCUGACGUUAGCGGCGGACGGGUGAGUAACACGUGGAUAACCUACCUAUAAGACUGGGAUAACUUCGGGAAACCGGCGCUAAUACCGGAUAAUAUAUUGAACCGCAUGGUUCAAUAGUGAAAGACGGUUUUGCUGUAACUUAUAGAUGGAUCCGCGCCGCAUUAGCUAGUUGGUAAGGUAACGGCCUACCAAGGCGACGAUGCGUAGCCGACCUGCGAGGGUGAUAGGCCACACUGGAACUGAGACACGGUCCAGACUCCUACGGGAGGCAGCAGUAUGGAAUCUUCCGCAAUGGGCGAAAGCCUGACGGAGCAACGCCGCGUGAGUGAUGAAGGUCUUCGGAUCGUAAAACUCUGUUAUUAGGGAAGAACAAAUGUGUAAGUAACUAUGCACGUCUUGACGGUACCUAAUCAGAAAGCCACGGCUAACUACGUG